UUUGUAUAAUGGGUCAGCGACUUAUAUUUUGUAGCGAGCUUAACCGUAUAGGGGAGGCGAAGGGAAACCGAGUGUUAACUGCGCGACGAGUUGCAAGGUAUAGACCCGAAACCCGGUGAUCUAUCCAUGGCCAGGAUGAAGGUGAGGUAACACUUACUGGAGGUCCGAACCCACGUAUGUUGAAAAAUGCGGGGAUGAGCUGUGGAUAGGAGUGAAAGGCUAAUCAAACCGGGAGAUAGCUGGUUCUCCUCGAAAGCUAUUUAGGUAGCGCCUCGUGUCUCACUCUCGGGGGUAGAG
Molecule: ribosomal RNA, 297 nt
Filed under: uncultured Pelagophyceae
Lineage: Eukaryota; Pelagophyceae
Description: partial Bacterial large subunit ribosomal RNA
Rfam family: Bacterial large subunit ribosomal RNA
Source: RNAcentral